RNAcentral lists this ribosomal RNA (415 nucleotides) under uncultured Streptococcus sp. Its description in RNAcentral is "bacterial SSU rRNA". It matches the Rfam family "Bacterial small subunit ribosomal RNA", at positions 964 to 1382 of the family's 1533-position model. Lineage: Bacteria; Bacillati; Bacillota; Bacilli; Lactobacillales; Streptococcaceae. The record is from RNAcentral.
AAGAACCUUACCAGGUCUUGACAUCCCGAUGCUAUUCUAGAGAUAGAAAGUUACUUCGGUACAUCGGCGACAGGUGGUGCAUGGUUGUCGUCAGCUCGUGUCGUGAGAUGUUGGGUUAAGUCCCGCAACGAGCCGCAACCCUUAUCUUUAAUUGCCAGCAUUCAGUUGGGCACUUUAAGAGACUGCCGGUGUUAAACCGGAGGAAGGUGGGAUGACGUCAAGUCCUCAUGGCCUUUAUGCUUAGGGCUACACACGUGCUACAAUGGGUGGUACAACGAGUUGCGAGUCGGUGACGGCGAGCUAAUCUCUUAAAGCCAAUCUCAGUUCGGAUUGUAGGCUGCAACUCGCCUACAUGAAGUCGGAAUCGCUAGUAAUCGCGAAUCAGCAUGUCGCGGUGAAUGCGUUCCCGGGCCUU